RNAcentral lists this long non-coding RNA (5213 nucleotides) under Homo sapiens (human). Its description in RNAcentral is "non-protein coding lnc-MMRN1-12:22". Lineage: Eukaryota; Metazoa; Chordata; Mammalia; Primates; Hominidae. The record is from RNAcentral.
AGUCUGUGAGCUGGGAGCCUGUUGGCAGGUCCCUCUUUUUAUUUUCGCUGAGAGCUUUCUUUUACUAAAUGCCACCAUCCUUACCUUUCAAGGUGUCUGCGUGCCUAAUUUUUCCUGGUUGUUAGACAAGAACCCGGAUUUUAGUUGAACUCUGGAGCAAAAAUCCUGCAUCAUUUGUAGGUCAACAACAAGAGGCCAGGACCUCCCAAGAAAAGCUUUACUAAUGUAAUAGCUUUGGCCAAGUCCACCCAAUAUAUUUUCCUCUCUGCAAAGAGAAACAAGCUAUUGUCUCAUCUUAGGUUUCAUCUUCUUCCAUGCCACUGUUAUUCAUGUUCAAAUCCUGGCUGUCCUUCAGGGUCCAAUUCAAAUGAUUAUCGCCAUUUUCUAUUAAUGUCAUUUCUUCCUAUUUUCUACCUUUUGUUAGCUAUGUUAAAGUGUUUCUUUACCAACAUCCCCCAUAUAUUGUGUAACACAGUGUCUAUGGCUUACUCAUUUUUGAAUCCUUAUCAUGACCUGACAUAAUGAAGAUUCUUAGUACAUAGUGAUACAUGUAAAUAUGAGUUAAUUAGUACAUGAUAGACUUGAUUUCCAGAAUGAUUUUGUAUAGUUGAAUUGUGUAGUAAGGGGACACAUGUGAAAUGAAGACUUUAGUCAGUAUCAAGAAGAUAUUUUGGGUGACUUCACAUAUCUGCCAAUGAUAAAUCUAGAAACAAUAGGUGCUUGGGUAGGUGAUUUCCUUUUGCCUUCUUUAUCAUUGUUUUCCCAGUAUUUCUUACAUUCAUCUAAUUUCAUUAGAUGCCCAUAUACUUUAUACUGGCUCUUCCUGUGAGGUUCGAACUGGUCCAGUCCAUUUGUUUUCAGAAUUGAUUCAUCUGGAGAGUCAUCUCCUAUCCUCCCAAACAAUGAUAUACCAGUCUGAGGACUGUGUAGAAGGGACUUCUCUUUCUACUCAGUAUGACCAAAAUAAUUCAAUUCUAGUUGUGGUGUGUGAUUUAUGAAUAUUUUGUCCUUUAGUUUGUGUGAGCCAAUUUUGUGCCAUAAGAAUUUUAGCCUCCUUUUCCACAAAAGAGUGAUUUAAUCAAACAAAAGUUGACAAUCAAUGUAGUACAUUUGUGUGACAGUGAUUAAACAUGGUGUUUUUCUCUUAGGUGUCUGAGUAGAUUUGGAAAUGCCCAUUCAGCCCUCAGAGCUCCUCUGCUUUAAGGGUGAUGGACUUCCUGUACCACUACGUAGUGCAUGAGUGCCAGCCACUGGUAUCUAGAACUGUGAUUAGUGAGGAAACACUAGGAGGAACAAACAACCCAACUCUUUUUAUCUAAUCUGUUGACUCCAAAGGGACCUUCUGCUUAUUCCAGUUAAAACUCAAGCUGCAAUUCAAAAUGAAAUCAGUAUCUUUUUUCUCUACUUUUCAGCAAAGCAAGAUGCUACCUUAUAAUUACCACGUAACAAUCAAUCGCAAACAUAGUGGCUUAAAGCAGCUCCUCUUUUAGCCUACAUAUCUGCAAACUGGCAGUCUGGACUGAGCUCAGCUGGAUGUUUUUUCUGAGCUGAUCAUGUAUGUAGGGUCUGCUGCUGGCUGGUUUAGACUGAUGGUGGAUGAGAAACCACAUGAAGAAGAGAGGCAUGAUGGUGGCAGAGUUCUGAAAGAGUCACACAGAAGGGCGUUGAGUUCGUGGCUUGAAAAUAGCAUCCUGUCACUUCUACCACAUUCUAUUUACCAGGCCAGCCCAGAUAAAGAUGUGAAGAAACAGACUCCAUCUCUUGAUGGGAGAAGUUGAAAAUCAAUGGAAAAUGGCAUGGAUAAGGAAAGGAGUGAUGAUUGUGGCCAUAUUUGUAAUGGCCAUAUUUGAUACCCUUUUCAGUUUUCCUAGCCACACUUCUCAUUGGCCAGGAAAAUUAAAUGCAUGUCAACACUGAAGAAAACAGAUCUUGGUUAAAAGCAAUGAUGUAGCUAAUAUCCCGUUCAGGUAAAAGAUUACUUAUAUAGUGUGAGACAGGCAUGAGGCAGAGAAGUGCUUACAGGUUGGUUUCUGCUUUGUUAGCAGAUUUACUUUUAGAUCAUAUACUACUUUGUUUUUACUGUUUUAUUGAGAAAAAAUAACAAAUAUUUCCAAAAUUUUGCAGCAUGCAACUCAGUGCUUCAGUUGGCAUUCAAUCAAAAUUUCCUUGAAAUAAAAAAAGACAAGAGAGAGACUUGGAAUUAUGACUCUUCUACUAGAUUAGCUCCUUCAUGUCAAAAUCUGUCAAGUUUAUGAUUUAUUCAGAUAGCACUUGUUUUUGGUGUAAUAACUAAACUGUUGCUUUAGAGUCUACUACAUUCUCCUCUAUUAUUUGGCAUUUUUCUCUUUAUUAUUUUGUUCAAGUAGGAUAUUGUGCUGAGUUGAACCAUGAAAUGAAUUGUAUUGAGCAACAUCAACAACAUAAAUAUUCUGGGGUGUCAUCUGCAUUUUCAUAUCUGGCUGCUCAAAUUCUUUUUACAGCUAUAGCUUUGAUAAUAAUGUAAUAGCAUAAUGUUUUUCAUUAGAUAUCAAAUCAUAGAAGACAACAAAGAUGUGUUAAGUUAGCAUAGUUUAAUAUAAGGAAACAACAGCAUCAGUAAAAGCAUUGAGCACUAAAUAUCUCUUCCAUUUCAGUUCUUUUACAGGAAGCUUUUGUUACGUGUUGUCAGCACAUUGCUGUGAUGCUCAAGUAUAGCUCUUUAAUGUGAAAACCUGGUAUUUGGGCAUGGCUUGAAGCAGGUGGGUGUCAUUGUGACUGGCUGCUACCUCCCCAUGAGUCUUCUAAAAUAAAACCUGCAAAUUCACAUCUUCCCCAUGCUUCCAGAGAAUGCAUAUUCUUCCUUUGAAAAAAGAAAACCAGCUGUCACAGAGGUCAUAGAAUUGGGCUUAUUGAGAAGGAAAGGUAAAUGCUAGUACACUACUUGGCUCAGAAGUGAACAAAAUUGCAGUUUGCUCAAACAACUCCAUAGGAAAAAGUCUAAUAAUCUGAUGUAAAAAUGGGCAGAAGAUUUGAAUAGAUAUUUCUCAAAAGAAGACAUACGAAUGGCAAACAGACAUAUGAAAAUGUACUCAAAAUCAUUGAUCAUCAGAGAAAUGUAAAUCAAAACUGCAAUGAGAUAUCAUCCGACUCCAGUUAAAAUGGCUUUUAUCCAAAAGUCAGGCAAUAAAAAAUGCUGGUAAGGAUGUAGAGAAAAGGGAACCCUUGUACACUGUUAGUGGGAAUGUAAAUUAAUACAAUCACUAUGGAGAACAGUUUGGAGGAUCCUCAAAAAACUAAAAAUAGAGCUACCAUAUGAUUCAGCAAUCUCACUGCUAGGUAUAUACCCAAAAGUAUAUUGAAGAGACAUCUGCACUCCCAUGUUUGUUGCAGCACUGUUCAUAAUAGCCAAGAUUUGGAAGCCACCUAAGUGUCCAUCAACAGAUGAAUGGAGAAACUGUGGUACAUAUACACAACGGAGUGCUAUUCAGCCAUAAAAAAGAAUGAUACUCUGUCAUCUGCAACAACAUGAAUGGAACUGGAGAUCAUUAUGUUGUUAAAUAAGCCAGACACAGAAAGACAAACAUCACAUAUUUUCACUUAUUUUGGGGAUAUAAAAGUCAAAACAAACUCAUGGAGAUAGAGAACAGAUAGACGGUUACCAGAGGCUAGGAGGAGGAGUGGUGGGGGGCAGUUAGUGAUGGUUAAUUGGUACAAAAAAAUGGUUAGAAAUAAUAAAUAAGACCUAGUAUUAGAUAGGACAACAGGAGGACUAUAGUCAAAAAUAAUUUAUUUGUACAUUUCAAAGUAACUAAAAGAGUGUAAUUGUAUUAUUUGUAGCACAUAGGAUAAAUGCUUGAGGUGACGGAUACCCCAUUUACCCUGAUGUGAUUAUUACACAUCGUAUGCCUGUACCAAAAGAUCUCAUGUACCUCAUAAAUACAUACACCUACUAUAUACCCACACAAAUUAAAAAUUAAAAAAAUUUAAAGAAAUUACAGUUUGUUGGUUUUGAAUAUUUGACCAAAUUUUUUACUAAGCACAGAUAGAUUGAAUAUAAUUUUAUUGUCCUUUUGACAUUAUGAUAAUGAAGGUAUCUACACAGAAGUCUGAGAUGAGAAAAAAAUGAUAUAAUAUCCACCUACUACAUAGUGGGUAGUUUAUAUACUAAAGUUAUUGUUAUGAGAAAGAAUGGCUUAGGAAUAUUAUUUAAAAUUAAUUAAGGGGUGUUAAAAAUAAAAUACCAAGUGUAAAAAUGACAAAGGCAAGAAGAAACAGUAUAUAAUGUGAGUAAAUCUUAAUCUUUCCAAGAGAGGAGACAGUACAUAAUGUCUAAAAUUGUUAAACCAUGAAAUAGAAAUAUAGUUAUUUUAUUCAUAAUUAAGGAGAUAACUACUAUAGCACGAAAUCGUGCCAAAAAUGGUUGCCUCUGGGAAAUGUGAUUAUAGAUAUUAUAAUAUUUUGGACUGUAAAAAUCUGCUUUUAAGACUGAGGAAAUACAAAUAGGACAAUAUUUAUUUGAAAUUUGUAUCCUCAGGGAGUGUAAAGAAAUUAAUGUAUCCACAAAAUAAUAAUAGCUGCUAUUUGAAAACAUAGUUUUCUUGAAAGUUAAAAUAGUAAUAGUCUUCUAAAAAUUUUGUUAGUUUUGGUUUUCUCUUUAAUCUGAGUUAUGUAGAAAAGUGCUUAUUUCAAAUUAGGUAGGCUUGUUUUAUUCCUUUUUCUGUCUUUUUUCUAUCAACUAGUGUUUUAUUGUGUUCAGAAAAUGCCAUGCAUUAAAAGACUACUUUUGAGAAUUUCUAGAGAUUUUCUUUGUUACUAAAGAGAUUUUUGUAAUUGUUACAUGGGAUUUUAAAAAGAAUGUAAAUUAUCCUUUUUGUCAAGUAUAAUGAUUUCUGAAACCUAGCUGUGUCAGAAUACUGUAUAAUACUGUAAUAGUAUGUUGUUUUUGGCUAUGUGUACUUAUUUCUUAGAGUGGUAUGUUAAAGCCUCGACCUUGUGACUUUGUUUAUUUCUCUCUCUACAUCUAAACAUUUCCAAGACAUGUUAUUUGCAAUACCAAGACCAUAACUAUUAUGUAUUUAAUCAAAAUAAAAUAUUUCGGCUCUCUAUAAUUCACCUUGAACUUUAUUUUGUUAAAUAUAAAUGUUGUUGAUUAUACAACAUUUCAUUAUCAAUCCCUAGACACAUUUCUAAUCCACUAUAAUUGUUUUAAAAUAAAAGGAGAAGGGAAGGUUGUA